UACGGAGGGUGCGAGCGUUGCUCGGAAUUAUUGGGCGUAAAGCGUACGCAGGCGGCGCUGUAAGUCGGGUGUGAAAGCCCGGGGCUCAACCCCGGAAAUGCGCCCGAAACUGCAGCGCUUGAGUGCGGGAGAGGAAAGCGGAAUCCGUGGUGUAGAGGUGAAAUUCGUAGAUAUCACGGGGAACACCGGUGGCGAAAGCGGCUUUCUGGCCCGAUACUGACGCUCAUGUACGAAAGCGUGGGGAGCAAACAGG
Molecule: ribosomal RNA, 253 nt
Filed under: uncultured bacterium
Lineage: Bacteria
Description: partial 16S ribosomal RNA
Rfam family: Bacterial small subunit ribosomal RNA
Source: RNAcentral